Podarcis lilfordi (Lilford's wall lizard) is the source of this 518-nucleotide non-coding RNA. The record is from the annotation of a GenBank genome assembly. Lineage: Eukaryota; Metazoa; Chordata; Lepidosauria; Squamata; Lacertidae.
CUCAGGAAGCCAAGCGUUCCCAAUCUCCCAUCAUGACUUGGACCGUUGUCCUUGUGCUUUUUUGGACUUAUUGCUCAGGUGAGGGUUGAAGGUUUUCCAUCUGCAGCUUUAAAUAAAUCAAGGCAUGCCCUUUUCUGUUACUUUAAUAAAAAACAAGAUCAGCUUGCUCAGAACCCUACAAAACCAAGCCAGGUGUUUACUCUUUUCUCUGUUUCCAGGUAUCACUUCAUUGCCUGUGAUGACUCAGGCUCCCUCCCAGUCUGUGACUCUGAGGAACACAGUGAGAUUCACCUGCACUUUGAGCAGUGGAUAUGAGGGCUGGAGCAUCGAGUGGUAUCAGCAGAGAGAGGGACAGGUCCCUCGGCUUGUGGUGUAUUCUGAUAGCAACAGAGCCGGUGGGAUCCCAGAUCGGUUCUCUGGCUCCAAAUCAGGCAGCGAGCGCUAUCUGACCAUCACUGGUGUCCAACCAGAGGAUGAGGCCACAUAUUACUGUGGUGCAGGUGACAGCAGUGGGUUGG